This 92-nucleotide small RNA is filed under the name Flavobacterium sp. 5. Its description in RNAcentral is "Flavo-1 RNA". The record is from RNAcentral. Lineage: Bacteria; Pseudomonadati; Bacteroidota; Flavobacteriia; Flavobacteriales; Flavobacteriaceae.
AGUUUGCGUGAGGGAUAGCAGUGGAAAGCCCACAGACCAAUGGAGUGAUAACGGAAUUGGUCGAGGACUUGUAGCGAAUAGCCCGACCCGAC